This 756-nucleotide ribosomal RNA is filed under the name uncultured bacterium. Its description in RNAcentral is "bacterial SSU rRNA". It matches the Rfam family "Bacterial small subunit ribosomal RNA", at positions 8 to 796 of the family's 1533-position model. The record is from RNAcentral.
AGAGUUUGAUCCUGGCUCAGAAUCAACGCUGGCGGCGUGCCUAACACAUGCAAGUCGCACGAGAAAGGGGAGCAAUCCCUGAGUAAAGUGGCGCACGGGUGAGUAACACGUGACUAACCUACCCUCGAGUGGGGAAUAACCUAGAGAAAUCUGGGCUAAUACCGCAUAACACUUACGAGUCAAAGCAGCAAUGCGCUUGGGGAGGGGGUCGCGGCCGAUUAGCUAGUUGGCGGGGUAAUGGCCCACCAAGGCGAUGAUCGGUAUCCGGCCUGAGAGGGCGCACGGACACACUGGAACUGAAACACGGUCCAGACUCCUACGGGAGGCAGCAGUGGGGAAUUUUGCGCAAUGGGGGAAACCCUGACGCAGCAACGCCGCGUGGAGGAUGAAAUAUCUUGGUAUGUAAACUCCUUUCGAUGGGGAAGAUUAUGACGGUACCCAUAGAAGAAGCCCCGGCUAACUUCGUGCCAGCAGCCGCGGUAAUACGAGGGGGGCAAGCGUUGUUCGGAUUUAUUGGGCGUAAAGGGUGCGUAGGCGGUUUGGCAAGUCUGAUGUGAAAUCUAUGGGCUCAACCCAUAGUCUGCAUCAGAAACUGCCGGGCUUGAGUAUGGGAGAGGUGAGUGGAAUUUCCGGUGUAGCGGUGAAAUGCGCAGAUAUCGGAAGGAACACCUGUGACGAAAGCGGCUCACUGGACCAUUACUGACGCUGAUGUACGAAAGCUAGGGGAGCAAACAGGAUUAGAUACCCUAGUAGUCC